Molecule: ribosomal RNA, 940 nt
Filed under: uncultured crenarchaeote
Lineage: Archaea; Thermoproteati; Thermoproteota
Description: bacterial SSU rRNA
Rfam family: Archaeal small subunit ribosomal RNA
Source: RNAcentral
UUCCGGUUGAUCCCGCCGGACCCCACUGCUAUCGGGAUAGGACUAAGACAUGCUAGUCGAGCGCGUCAGCCAAAACGACGCGCGGCAUACAGCUCAGUAACACGUGGCUAAUCUGCCCUUGGGACGAGAACAAACCCGGGAAACUGGGGCUAAUUCUCGAUAGAUGAAGAACUCUGGAAUGAGUCUUUAUCAAAAAAGAUUUACGUUAUGCUCGUGAAUCCGCCCAAGGAUGAGGCCGCGACCGAUCAGGUUGUUGGUGAGGUAACGGCUCACCAAGCCUUUUACCGGUGCGGGCCGUGGGAGCGGGAGCCCGGAGAUGGGUACUGAGACAAGGACCCAGGCCCUACGGGGCGCAGCAGUCGCGAAACCUUUGCAAUACACGCAAGUGUGACAGGGCUAUCCCGAGUGCCAUCCGCUGAGGAAGGCUUUUACCCAGUAUAGAAAGCUGGGGGAAUAAGGAGAGGGCAAGUCUGGUGUCAGCCGCCGCGGUAAUACCAGCUCUCCGAGUGGUGUGGAUGUUUAUUGGGCCUAAAGCAUCCGUAGCUGGCUAAGUUAGUCCUUUGUUAAAUCCACCGAAUUAAUCGUUGGGUUGCGAGGGAUACUGCUUGGCUAGGGGACGAGAGAGGCAGACGGUAUUUUCGGGGUAGGGGUGAAAUCCUAUAAUCCCGGGAAGACCACCAGUGGCGAAGGCUGUCUGCUAGAACGCGCCCGACGGUGAGGGAUGAAAGCUGGGGUAGCGAACCGGAUUAGAUACCCGGGUAGUCCCAGCUGUAAACGAUGCAGGCUAGGUGUUUGGACGGCCACGUGCCGUUCUAGUGCCGCAGGGAAGCUGUUAAGCCUGCCGCCUGGGGAGUACGAUCGCAAGAUUGAAACUUAAAGGAAUUGGCGGGGGAGCACCACAAGGGGUGAAGCUUGCGGUUUAAUUGGAGUCAACGCCGGA